This 3151-nucleotide long non-coding RNA is filed under the name Zonotrichia albicollis (white-throated sparrow). RNAcentral's name for it is "lncRNA (ENSZALG00000000571.1)". Lineage: Eukaryota; Metazoa; Chordata; Aves; Passeriformes; Passerellidae. The record is from RNAcentral.
UUGUCACCUGUGUGUGUCACUGUCACCUGUGUGUGUCACCAUGACCACCAAGGAGUGCCUGCACCGCUUCUGCUCCGACUGUAUCGUCACAGCCCUGAGGAGCGGGUCAGUGUCACUGUCAUUGUCACUGUCAUUGUCAUUGUCUCCUUUGUGUGUCACCUGUGUGUGUCACCAUGACCACCAAGGAGUGCCUGCACCGCUUCUGCUCCGACUGUAUCGUCACAGCCCUGUGCAGCGGGUAUGUGACACCUGUGUGUGUCAUUGUCAUUGUCACCUGUGUCACCUGUGUGUGUCACCUGUGUGUCAUUGUCAUUGUCACACCUGUGUGUGUCAUUGUCAUUGUCACCUGUGUGUGUGUCAUUGUCAUUGUCACCUGUGUGUCAUUGUCAUUGUCAUUGUCACUGUCACCUGUGUGUCAUUGUCACCUGUGUCACUGUCACCUGUCUGCGUCACCAUGACCACCAAGGAGUGCCUGCACCGCUUCUGCCCCGACUGUAUCGUCACAGCCCUCAGGAGCGGGUAUGUGACACUGUCACUGUCAUUGUCAUUGUCAUUGUCACCUGUGUGUGUGUCAUUGUCACCUGUGUGUAUCACCAUGACCACCAAGGAGUGCCUGCACCGCUUCUGCUCCGACUGUAUCGUCACAGCAUUGAGGAGCGGGUAUGGGACACUGUCACCUGUGUGUCAUUGUCACCAUUGUCAUUGUCACCAUUGUCAUUGUCAUUGUCACCUGUGUGUGUGUCACUGUCACCUGUGUGUGUGUCAUUGUCACCUUGUGUGUCACCAUGGCCACCAAGGAGUGCCUGCACCGCUUCUGCUCCGACUGUAUCGUCACAGCCCUGCGCAGCGGGUAUGUGACACUGUCAUUGUCAUUGUCAUUGUCAUUGUCAUUGUCACCUGUGUGUGUCACCAUGGCCACCAAGGAGUGCCUGCACCGCUUCUGCUCCGACUGUAUCGUCACCACCCUCAGGAGCGGGUAUGGGACACUGUCACCUGUGUGUGUCAUUGUCAUUGUCACCUGUGUCACUGUCACCUGUGUGUCACCUGUGUCAUGGUCACCUGUCACUGUCACCUGUGUGUCACCUGUCAGUGUCACCCCGGUGCCGGCACCGCUUCUGCUCCGACUGUAUCGUCACCGCGCUCAGGAGUGGGUACGGGACACUGUCAUUGUCACCUGUGUGUCAUUGUCAUUGUCAUCUGUGUCAUUGUCACCUGAGUGUCACCUGUGUCUGUCGUUGUCACCUGUCUGUCUCUGUCACCUGUGUGUCACCUGUGUCAUUGUCAAAAGGUGUCACCUGUGUCACUGCCACCUGUGUGUCACUGUCACCUGAUAUUGUCACCUGUGUCUGUCAUUGUUUGUCAUUGUCUGUCACCUGUGUCACCUGUGUGUCAUUGUCACCUCUGUCACCUGUGUCUGUCAUUGUCUGUCACCUGUGUGUGUCGCUUGUGUCACCUGUGUCACUGCCACCUGUGUGUCACUGUCACCUGUCUGAUAUUGUCACCUAUGUCUGUCAUUGUCUGUCAUUGUCUGUCACCUGUGUCACCUGUGUGUCAUUGUCACCUCUGUCAUCUGUGUCUGUCAUUGUCUGUCACUGUCACCUGUGUCACCUGUGUGUCACUGUCACCUCUGUCACCUGUGUCUCUCAUUGUCUGUCAUUGUCACCUGUGUCAUUGUCACCUGUGUCACCUGUGUCACCUAUUGUCACCUGUGUCACCUGUUUCUGUCAUUGUCACCUGUGUCAUUGUCACCUGUGUGUGUCAUUGUCUGUCACUGUCACCUGUGUGUCACUGUCACCUGUGUGUCAUUGUCACCUGUGUGUGUCACCUGUGUCAGUGUCAGCUGUGUGGGUCACUGUCACCUGUGUCAUCUGUGUCUCCUGUGUCAAUGUCACCUGUGUCACCUGUCUGUGUCACCUGUGUCACUGUCACCUGUGUGUCACUGUCACCGGUGUUUCAUUGUCACCUUUGUGUCAUUGUAACGUGUGUCACUGUCACCUGUCACUGUCACCCGUGUGUCACUGUCACCUGUCUGUGUCACCUGUGUUUCACGGUCACUUGUGUCACUGUCACCUGUGUGCAAUUGUCACCUGUGUCAGUGUCACCUGUAUGUGUCACCUGUGUGUCACUGUCACCUGUGUCACGGUCACCCGUGUGUCAUUGUCACCCGUGUGUCACUGUCACCUGUGUCACUGUCACCUGUGUGUCACUGUCACCUGUCUGUCACUGUCACCUGUGUCACUGUCACUGUCACCUGUGUGUCACCUGUGUCACUGUCACCUGUGUGUGUCACUGUCAUCUGUAUGUCAUUGUUACCUGUGUCACCUGUGUCACUGUCACCUGUGUGUGUCACCUGUGUGUGUCACUGCCUGUCACUGUCACCUGUCAUUGUCACCUGUGAGUGUCACCUGUGUCACUGUCACCUGUGUGUCAUUGUCACCUGUGUCACUGUCACCUGUAUGUCACUGUCACCUGUGUGUGUCACCUGUGUGUCACCUGUGUGUCACUGUCACCUGUCAGUGUCACCUGUGUCUGUCACAGUCACCUGUGUGUCACCUGUGUCACUGUCACCUGUGUGUGUCACUGUCAUCUGUAUGUCAUUGUUACCUGUGUGUCACUUGUGUGUCACCCGUGUGUCACUGUCACCUGCGUCACUGUCACCUGUGUGUCACCUGUGUGUCACUGUCACCUGUGUGUCACUGUCACCCGUGUGUCACUGUCACUGGUGUGUCACCCCUGUGUCAUUCCCAAUUCCCAUUCCCCCCCAUUUUUUCUCCUGAUUUUUCCUCAUUUUUUCUCCAUUUUUUUCUCAAAUUUUUCCCCAAUUUCCCCCCGGUUUUUCCGCCAUAUUUUCCCCAUUUCUCCUCGGAUUUUUUGCCCAUUUUUUUUCCCCAUUUUCCCAGCUUUUUCCCCGUUUUUCCCCGUUUUUCCCCAGGAACAAGGAGUGUCCCCCAUCCAGGAAGAACCUGGAGUCUCAUUUUCUCCCUUUUUUUUCCCCGUUUUUUUGCCAUUUUUUGCCGUUUUUCCGCCAUAUUUUCCCCAUUUCUCCUCGGAUUUUUUUCCCGUUUUUUUCCCCAUUUUUCACAUUUUUCCCCCCAUUUUUCCCCAGGAACAAGGAGUGCCCACGUGCAGGAAGAAGCCGGGAUCUCAUUUU